This 485-nucleotide ribosomal RNA is filed under the name uncultured bacterium. Its description in RNAcentral is "partial 16S ribosomal RNA". It matches the Rfam family "Bacterial small subunit ribosomal RNA", at positions 28 to 507 of the family's 1533-position model. The record is from RNAcentral.
GAUGAACGCUAGCUACAGGCUUAACACAUGCAAGUCGAGGGGCAGCAUGACCUAGCAAUAGGUUGAUGGCGACCGGCGCACGGGUGAGUAACACGUAUCCAACCUGCCGAUUAUUCCGGGAUAGCCUUUCGAAAGAAAGAUUAAUACUGGAUAGCAUAACGAGAAGGCAUCUUCUUGUUAUUAAAGAAUUUCGAUAAUCGAUGGGGAUGCGUUCCAUUAGUUUGUUGGCGGGGUAACGGCCCACCAAGACAUCGAUGGAUAGGGGUUCUGAGAGGAAGGUCCCCCACAUUGGAACUGCGACACGGUCCAAACUCCUACGGGAGGCAGCAGUGAGGAAUAUUGGUCAAUGGACGAGAGUCUGAACCAGCCAAGUAGCGUGAAGGAUGACUGCCCUAUGGGUUGUAAACUUCUUUUAUAGGGGAAUAAAGUGGGCCACGUGUGGCUUUUUGUAUGUACCAUACGAAUAAGGAUCGGCUAACUCCGUG